Molecule: ribosomal RNA, 779 nt
Filed under: Bigelowiella natans
Lineage: Eukaryota; Cercozoa; Chlorarachniophyceae
Description: eukaryotic LSU rRNA
Rfam family: 5.8S ribosomal RNA (bases 217-372)
Source: RNAcentral
GCCCUUGUAGGUGAACCUGCAGAAGGAUCAUUAACRCGUAUCCACGUUAUAAUAAACUUUAUAAAUCUUUGUGAACUUGUAGACUGUGAACCCUUUUUUAUUACAACAACAACAAACUCCUUUAUUGGAACUAAAAAUUUUUAUUGUCGAAAAUUACAUCUUAUUAUCUCUCAUAAUCUUCAUUAUURUGRGAAAUARUAURAAAAACAAUAUCAUGACCCUUAGCGAAGGAUGUCUUGGUUCCGGCAACGAUGAAGAACGCAGCGAAAUGCGAUACGUAAUGCGAAUUGCAGAAUUCAGUGAAUCAUCAAAUUUUUGAACGCAAAUUGCGCUCCGUAGGUGUCCCCUUGGAGCAUGCCUCCUUCAGUGUCGUGUCUACCAAUCUCAGCGACGUGCUUAUUCGAAAUGAUGAGCACAUGUAGCUGGAAAGUGAGUGUCACUUCAUUGGAGUGUCGCUUGAAGACGACAGGUUGUUGGUUGCAUUUCUUCCUAUUUUUUUCACAACAAAAAUAGAGAAGAGUGCGAUCCGACAGAUUUCACGACUAGCUUUGCAGUUGGUGUGAUGUGGGUAGCCUUAUGGACGAAACAUCUAACCGUAUAUUAAAUUAUAGCUGCUGUAGGCUAGGCACCAAAAAGAGAUCGUCGGAAGCAACGACAAAGAUCAUACAACUGGAAUAUUCUCGAAUCAUUUAUUAAUGAAUGAUGAGAGAUAUUUUCGACUGUUGACCUGAAGUGAGGUGAGAGGACCGGCCGAAUUUAAGCAUAUAAGGGCGAAUUCC